RNAcentral lists this ribosomal RNA (387 nucleotides) under uncultured Pseudotomentella. RNAcentral describes it as "eukaryotic LSU rRNA". The stretch from base 1 to 123 matches the Rfam family "5.8S ribosomal RNA", at positions 32 to 154 of the family's 154-position model. The record is from RNAcentral. Lineage: Eukaryota; Fungi; Basidiomycota; Agaricomycetes; Thelephorales; Thelephoraceae.
AUCGAUGAAGAACGCAGCGAAAUGCGAUAAGUAAUGUGAAUUGCAGAAUUCAGUGAAUCAUCGAAUCUUUGAACGCACCUUGCGCUCCUUGGUAUUCCGAGGAGCAUGCCUGUUUGAGUGUCAUGAAAUUCUCAACUGCCUUUUAGCAUUUAUGUUAAGGGUGAAGUUGGAGUUGGAGGAUAAUUGCUGGCGCAACUGAGGUUGCUUGUUGGCUCCUCUUGAAUGAAUGAGUUUUCUGAUGGAUCAUAGCUCAGUAACACUAAUGUGAUAAUUAUCUACGUUAGAUGUGAAGAGGCUCCUACAGAAAAGGUGUAUCUUGGGGAUAACAAACCCUUGACUUUGACAAAUUCUGACCUCAAAUCAGGUAGGACUACCCGCUGAACUUAA